Molecule: long non-coding RNA, 2855 nt
Organism: Magnolia sinica
Lineage: Eukaryota; Viridiplantae; Streptophyta; Magnoliopsida; Magnoliales; Magnoliaceae
Exons: 2
Source: RefSeq, a predicted model, not a curated record
AUCAACCUGUCUCAUUUUUGUCUAUCCGGACGUCCACAAUCGACCUUUCGCCUUCCUUGUGUUCAUCCUUAUGAAACAAGGAUCCUUUGUUGAAACACACGUUACAAUUAAGGAUGAUUUUUCUUGUGACUCGAUCAUAUAACCUGUAAUCCUUCACACCACCACCAUAGCUGACAAAGAUGUACUUUUUAACCUCUUAAUUCAACUUAUCUCUCUCAAUUUAUGGUACAUAAGAGUAAGCAUCACAACCAAAGACUCAUAGUCCUGAGUAGUCUAUCUGCUGACCACUCCACACUUCUUCUAGAAUUUUACAUUCAACGGUCGCAGAGGGGGACGAUUUACCAAGUAACAUGCCGUGUUAACGGUUUCAGUCAACAUUUCCUUACCCAACCCAUCGUUACUCAUCAUGCAUCUGGCCCUCUCAAAGAGAGUCUGAUUCAUUCGUUCAGCCACACCAUUUUGCUUUGGUAUGUGGCAUAUUGUGUUGUGCCUUAUGCUCCUUUCAUCCUUACAAUACCGAUUGAAUUCUCCACCAUUAUCUGUCCUCAAUACUUUCACAUUUCGUCAUAUCUAUUUUUUUAACCACCGCCUUCUAUUGUUUAAAGUUAAUGAAAACAUUGAAUUUAUUUUUCAUAAAAUAAACUUACACUUUUCUGUAAUAGUCAUCAAUGAAUGUAACAAACCAUAAUGACCAUCCACCAGAAAAUAUGGGCGACGACCCCCAUACAUUAGAACGCACAUAAUCUAGAACUCCCUUACAAAUAUGUUUCUUGGGUUCGAAAGACGACAUUGACUGUUUACCAUAUAUAUAAUGCUCAUAUAUACUGAAAUCAAUACUUUUAAGAACUAGAAUUAAACAACGGUCAGAAAGUACAUUCAUGCACUGCUUGCUCAUGUGGCCUAAACGUGUAUGCAUGCCACAUAACAUGCAGACGUGGAAUCUGCUACAGACUCUGCAACUCCACUCGAUGAAGUACUCCCGAUCAACCUAUAUAAAUGUUUCCAUUUAUCUGCUCCUUCAUGACUAUGAUUGUCCCUUUUAGAUUUUUGAGGACAUGAUCGAACCCGGUGAAUUUGCACCAAAGUGCCUCAAGUGUACCUAGAGAUAUCAGGCUCUUCCUCAACUUAGGAACAUGUCCCACUUCGGUCAAGAGACACUCCAUGUCAUCAAACAUAUUGAUGUGCACCGAUCCAACACCAACCACUUUGCAUGUAUUAUCGUUGCCCAUAAACACCUGGCUACCAUCGCACUCACUGUAACUGGUGAACCAACUCCUUUGAGGGGUCAUGCGGUACAAAGCUCCCAUAUCCAAAAUCCAUUCUCCAUUGAAGUACCCGGAUUUUGAUGCGGUCAAUACAUCACUAUCAUUCGUCUCCUCAUUGGAUUUUGUAGUGUUGGCCUCCUUCGAAGAACUCUCUGAAUUCUCUUUCAUCGACCUAGGAUUCUUACAAUCAUUCCCCAUGUGCCAUAUGAUGCUACAAUUCCAGCACUUCAACUUUCCUUUAUCCCUACCCUUGGAUUUGGACAUGAAAAUUCAUUAUCCCGCUCAAAAUUUCUUUCCCUCGUAACCAACGUAUCUGUAGAAGCACCCACGUCACUGCUUUUCUUUCUCAACGCCUUCGACUGAAGGGUUGAGAUAACGGUUUCAACGCAAAUUGUCGUUCUACCAGUACAUAAAGAGUCUUUGAACGACCCAUACGAUGCUGGAAUAGAGUUCAACAUGAUACAUGCUUGAUUUUCAUCUUUUAUCGUCUCCACAUCCAACAACCUGCAAACAAGCCUAUAAAAGUUAUUGAUGUGGGCCUCAACGUCAGCCCCUCUCUGCCAUCUUAAGAUUGAACAACUGUAGCUUUAGAUAUAAGCGAUUCUCAAGAGACUUAUUCGUAUAGAUGCUUUUUAGUUUCGCCCAAUGUACUUGUUGCAGUUUUCUCUCUCAUAACAUUAUAAAUGAGCUCAUCCGUUAGACACAAUUGAAUAGAUAUAUUAGCUUUCUUAUCUAACUUGUUCCAUUCUUUUUCUGACAUAGUUUCUGGUCGCUUUUUAAGGAGAGUUCCGUCGAAUCCUUCCUGAACUAAGAUACAGUUCAUUUUAACUUUUCAUAGUUCCAAAUUGCUUUUAUUAAUACUUCUAUACAUCGAACUUCAUAUUAAAUGCCAUUGAUACCUUGCUUUCAGAUUCGAUUUGCUUCCCAACGUUAUCUCUGAUACCACUUAUUGGGAACCGUGGAAGCAUAUGGAGUGGAACCAAGCAAAGUACACACAAUCACACAAACAAACCCAAAUAAGAGCCAUUCGAUUUUUACGUGGAAAAACCCUCGCGGGAAAAAAUCACAGUACAAAGUAACAAGUAAUGCACUUUGAAAGCAAAAUUAUAAGAGAUAGAUCUUAUUGAUUCAAACAAGCCUCGAACCUCCUUUAAACCUUAUCUAUGCCCUUAAUCCUUUGAAACGUUUUAGAAAGCCCUAAUACACCUUAAUCUCACCCUAAUCCCAAUUACACCCGAUAUAUAUACUAUUACAACCGGAAUAGGAAACAAAUCCAACACUUACACAACUUUGCACACGCUAUUGAUGAGACCUUCGAUGGCAUUGACCGGCAUUGAAGCCUAGUCAAUGACAUCGAUCAUUUAAUUGCAUCAAGUAGUAACUUCCAAAACUGUUCAGCAAACAAAUAGAAUUUUUUCAGAUUUUCUUGAUAGGAUUGAGCUGUCUUUUUGUGGCAUCGGCAGACCCUGUUACGGAUAGAUUUAAGACAUCAACAACAGUCGUUUUGGGGUGCACUGAUGGAGAAGUGAUAGCUGAUCAAAUCCGGUGGUGACCCAUUUUUUAGCGGUACAAUCCAUCGGAAUUGAAACC